RNAcentral lists this ribosomal RNA (138 nucleotides) under Providencia rettgeri. RNAcentral's name for it is "partial 16S ribosomal RNA". It matches the Rfam family "Bacterial small subunit ribosomal RNA", at positions 1 to 134 of the family's 1533-position model. Lineage: Bacteria; Pseudomonadati; Pseudomonadota; Gammaproteobacteria; Enterobacterales; Morganellaceae. The record is from RNAcentral.
UAAUUGAAGAGUUUGAUCAUGGCUCAGAUUGAACGCUGGCGGCAGGCCUAACACAUGCAAGUCGAGCGGUAACAGGGGAAGCUUGCUUCUCGCUGACGAGCGGCGGACGGGUGAGUAAUGUAUGGGGAUCUGCCCGAU